RNAcentral lists this long non-coding RNA (501 nucleotides) under Amborella trichopoda. RNAcentral's name for it is "long non-coding RNA (ATRI_LNC003763)". Lineage: Eukaryota; Viridiplantae; Streptophyta; Magnoliopsida; Amborellales; Amborellaceae. The record is from RNAcentral.
CUGACACUAUUCUUUGAAUUCCACUACUAUUUUCACCUUCAACAUCUAGUACUAGUACAACCUAUCUCUCUUUUUAUUGAAGAACAAUACACCCAUCUCUCUCUUCUCUAAGAAACUACCAAUAGGCAAACCUAGCGAUGCCCUCACUCUCUUAUUCUAGAAAGACUUCCUCGUGACUACUGCUCGUCUCUCUCACUCCAGAUAGACUUAUUUUGUUCUGUUGUGACCACUGCUCCGCUCACUUCCUCUUCUUUCCAUGAUUGAAGUGAUUGACAGAGAUGCUUAGGUUCCUUAAGGGUUCCUUCCAUUUGACAGAGGGUUAGGUUCCCUGAGGCUUCCUUCCAUUUGAUAGAGGGUAAGUUCCUGCGGCUUCGUUCCCGUAAUGCUUGAGAAAGAAGCUAUUAAUAGAGGGUUAGGGCUACUACAGGUAAAGAAGAAAAUGGUUAGAGAGAUAAUGAGAUAGAGAGAGAGUAUGGAGUGCCAUAGAGGCGUAAGGGUAAA